ACAUUGGUGGUUCUGUGGUAGAAUUCUUACCUUCCAUGCGGAAGAUCUGGGUUCAAUUCCUGACCAAUGUA
This 71-nucleotide transfer RNA is filed under the name Loxodonta africana (African savanna elephant). It matches the Rfam family "tRNA". From Rfam's summary of the family: Transfer RNA (tRNA) molecules are approximately 80 nucleotides in length. Lineage: Eukaryota; Metazoa; Chordata; Mammalia; Proboscidea; Elephantidae. The record is from Rfam by way of RNAcentral.